RNAcentral lists this long non-coding RNA (1465 nucleotides) under Cucumis sativus (cucumber). RNAcentral describes it as "long non-coding RNA (CSAT_LNC000275)". The record is from RNAcentral. Lineage: Eukaryota; Viridiplantae; Streptophyta; Magnoliopsida; Cucurbitales; Cucurbitaceae.
UUGACCACGUUCGAGAAAAGAAAACAAUUAAAUAAUUAUUUCUUUUUUUCCUGAUACCAUGUAGGCAACGUCGGGGGAGGUGAUACCCAUUCCUGACGUUUCACUUAUGAUGUCGGAAAUAGGUAUCACCUUCCCUGACGUCAAUGUUUGCUACGUCGAAAAAUGGGGGGUGGUCUUCCGGCGUCGUUUUCGUUGUGCGUCGGAAGUUCUCCAAUAAAAAGGGGUUUUCAUUUGUGUAAUUUACAAAAAUGAAAAAAAAUUAAAAAGAGAAGGUCGGGAGAGUUGAGAAAGAGAUGAAGAAGGAGAGAACACCAGGUUGUCACUAGCCGUCAUUUCUGUCCUGCCAUUCAUCAUCCUUCACACUGUCGUCUUCAUUUGGGUAAGUUUUUAGUUAGUUAUUGUUUUUGUUUGUUUUAGUUAAUUAGUUUUAGGAUUUAGAUUUUGAAUUGGUUUUAGGUUUUGGUUCUGAAUUUGAAUUAUUUUUAUGAUUUAAGAGUUGAGAUUGAAUUUGACAUGAAAUUAAUUUCAAUUCCAAUUUGAAUUAAUAUUUGAAAAUUUGUAAGGGUUACAUUGAAUGGGGGAGGGGAUAUAUUGAAUUUGGGGUCUGUAAUAGUUUUACAAUUUCUUUACAAUUGAGGUUAAAAUUUAUUUAGUUAGGGUAGUUUUUAGUUCAAGCUUAGUUUUUUAUUUAUUUUAUUAUUACGUUUUGUUUGUUGGAAAUGUUAGCUAUCUUGUAAAAGAUUGAAAUAAUUUGUGAUGGAUUUCUUAUAAUUAUCUUGCACUUAUGGUAGCCUUUUUAGAGCAAAAUUAGUUUCUAAUUUGUUGUUAGUUUUGGAGGUUCGAGGUGUUAGGUAGCUUGUAAAGUAUGUUGGAAGUGUUAGGUAGGUUUUAAACUUAACUUUAGUGAAAGUUGGGAGAUUGGGCAUAACUUAUUUAUGGAGUAAAUUCGAGCAUUUGAGAGGAGGAAUAUAAGACUAAUUAAACUUAUUUAUGUUUUAGGGCUUUUAAGGAUGGACAAGGAUGGAAUGAAACUUAAGAAUAAGUUCUCGGUUGAGUACAAAGAAGAAUUGUUUCAAUUUUUAGAGCUUGCAAAGUAUCACGUCGAUAAUUAUGGACGAACUAGGUGUCCAUGCAAGAGAUAUAUGAACUCAAUCUGGUAGUCAUUAGAGGGUCGCCAUCUAUUAACAAUUGGAAUAUCUCCCUCUCCUAUACAGACUGGGUGUAUCACGAAGAGCUAGUGAACUUGCAUAGUGGUAUAUAUAUAUGAGAUUUGAUGAAGGGAACUAGUUGAAGUAACUCUUUUGGGAAGGAACCAGCAGUAACGUUUUUCCUUAAGAAAAUGAAUUGUUGGGUAUGCUUCAUGAUUUGCAACCUCCAAUUGAACAUGAAAAAAAAAAAACAAAAGGAAGGUUUGGAGAAUGACGUGUCGUUUAAUAGUGGCACUACAAUAAAAAUGGUCUACGAC